CCACCAUGAUUCUAGGUGUCCUGUGGCUUCCCCAGUCACUUGGAACUACAAUAGCUGAAGAAUGUGAGAAAGAAAAAUCAAAAGCACACAAAUGAGACUGUGCAGUGAAGAGGCCACAGAGACAACCAUACUGUCUUUUUGUAUCACAAUAAGCAAAGUACUCCACAAGUUAAGAAGAGGUUAUGUCACAGUAAAUCCAUCAAUACCAAGGAAAGAGGUUUAUUGAGCACGUGGUUCUCUAGGCUGGGAAGUUCAAGACUGGACAGCUGCAUCUGGAAGCUUCUGGUAAAGGCUUUGUACAGUAUGAAAAUAUAGAGAAACAGAAGGGGAAGCAGGUGUUGUUAAGAGACCAGACAUGAGAGACAGCCUCAUUUUAUAACAGCCAGGGUAACUAAAUCAGUCUGAGGAGAGCAAGAAUUUACUCUUGGAAAAAAGACAUUAACUUCUCUUAACGAUCUAAUCUUAAGGCACAAUGUCUCAACAAUGUCUCACUUGGGAACAAGCAUCAACGUGAGUUUUGAUGGGAACAAACCAUCUUCAAAUUAUAGCAGUUUACUUUUCACUCUAUUAAUUGUGUUCUUUGAUGAAUGAAAGUUUUUGAUUUUGAUCAAGGCCAAUUUAUCUAUUUCUUCUUUUUUGUUAUCUGUACUUUUUAUGUCAUACCUGUAAAAUCAUUGCCAAACUCAAUGCCAUGAAUUCUUUUAUCCAUAUUUUCUCCUAAGAGUUUUAUAUUUUAGCUCUUAUGUUUAAGUCUUUGAUACAUUUUGAGUUAAAUUUUGUACAUGGUGUAAUAUAAAUAUCCAACUUUUGCAUGUAGAUAUAUUUUCCCAAGCAAAAUUGUUGAAAAGACUGUUCUUUUCCCAUCGAAUAAUUUUGGCACACCUGUAAAAAAUAACUGGAUUAUGAAUUCAGGGGUUGAUUUCUGGACUGCCUAUUACUGCCAAUUAGUAUUUAUGCCUGUACCACACUGUUUUGAUUACUGUAGCUUUGUAAUAACUUCUGAAAUUAAGGAGCAUAAGACCUACAAGUGUGUUUUUUCUCAAGAUUGUUUUGGCUAUUCAGGUCCCUUGAGAUUCCAUGUAAACUUUAGGAUGUAUUUUUCUAUUUCUGCAAAAAACAUCAUUGAAAUUUUUAUAGGGAUUUUCACUAAAUCUAUGGAUCAUUUUAUGUAGUAUUGACAUUUUAACAUUAUUCUAAUCAGUGAAAAUGGAUUUCCAUUUAUUUAUGUCUUCUUUAAUUUCUGUCAGCUUCAUUUUAUAGUUUUUAGUGUACAUGUCUUUAGCCUGCUUGGUUACAUUUAUUUCUAAGUAAAUGAAAUUGUUUUUUAUAUUUCCUUUUCAGAUUGUUCAUUAUUAGUGAACAAUGAUAUGCAGCUAAAUUUCAUGUGUUGAUUUUGUAUUCUGCAACAUUGCUGAAUUUAAAUUAGAACUGAGCCCUAUUAGUUUUUUGCCACAUUUUUAGGAUUUUCUGUGUGUAAGAUCAUGUCUUUUAAAAGAAAUAAUUUUAGUUUUAUUUUUCCAAUUUCAAUGUAUUUCAUUUAUUUAUUUGUUGCCUAAUUUCCCUGGUGAGGAGUCUAUUAAAUAGAGGGAUGAAAGUGGGUAUCCUUACAUUGUUUGAUUCUAAGUUUCUUUUUAAAUUAUAAACACAGAAAUAAAAAUGCUGAACAUAUUUGUUUGAUUGAUGCAAUUGAAUUUUAUGUUCUAAAGGUAUGUAUUUUAUGUUUAUGUCAAUUUGCAAAAUAAUUAUAAUUGUCUUUAUUGUGGGAAUUUGGGAUCAGUUACUCAAUCAAAUGAUUGCUCAGUUCUCUAUUUUACUUCUCUCAGUAGCAAAGGUAUAACAGAAGGAGCUUGUGGAAUGCUCAUUAAGUUACAAACAGACUGGUAAUUUAACAAUGGACUGCCAAUAGAACAAUAAAGCCUGUGUAGCUUUAUUGUCUUGAUACAGCGCAUAAUUUUUGACAGAAGCAAUAGAUUUUUUUCAUUUUUCUAAAAAACUUGUUCUCAAGAUAAUAUUUGUGUAGCUCUGCAGGAAUAGACAUCAUCUGCUGAGAGGCAUUCAUAAAAAUAAAUAAUGGGGGAAUUCCCCUCCAGCCCCUAUACACACUUUCUUUGAAAAGCAGUGACCAUCACUGCAUUUGGCUUUUUUAAUUGGCACUGAUUUCCUUUUUUGGCAAAUGAAACUCAAUUUUUCAUACAAGCCAGCCUUCACUGUCUAAUCCUAAAUAUAGGGGCAGCUUUAUCACUUACAUUUGGCAUGGAAGGCUAUACAAAUCUAUUUGGCUUAUUUAAUUCACUGAAAGAGGUAAUUUUCUAAAUAACUUCUAUUGGCCUAAAGGAGGUAAGGUGCUGCCAGGUGGGUAGUUUAUUCUCAUUGGCACAAUCAUAUCAGGACAUGAACGGGAUCCUCACUCUGGGUUUCUAGACACACAAACAAGCAGAACAUGCAACUAAGCAAAGGGAUUUGUACUCUUUCUGUAUUGGUAAGAUUCUCUUAACCUUUGCUGUAUGGAUAUAUAUAUAUAUAUCCCUUGAACAACACAGGUUUGAACUACAAGGGUCCACUUAUACACAGAUUAUUUUUAAUCAAUAUGUUUAUUUAUUAAGGUAGAUAUGUAGCAAAUGCAUAAAAUACACAUAGAUACUAGUCUAUUUACAUGCUAAUCAAUCAUUUAUGUUAUCAGUAAGGCUUCCAGUCAAUAGUAGGCUAUAGUAGUUAAGUUUGAGGAGUCAAAAGUUAUGCAUAAAUUGUCAAUUGCAUGAGAAUUGGCACCCCAACCCCAACAUUGUCCAAUGGUCAAAUGUAUAUAAAUAUAUAUAAAUGUAUACUGUAUAUAAAAUAAUAUUUCUGUUAUAUUAAUGAUUAGGAUUUUUAAAUGUUUGUAUUUUGAAAUAUAACACAUAUAUAUAAUGCAUAAAAUGAAUCUAUAAUGCAACAAAUUAUCACAGAAAUCAAGCAUGUAAUGCUCAUCCAAAAAAAGAAAUAGACCACAAGAAAUAGUUCUUUCUGUGCAAUCUUCACUCCAACCAUCUCCUUCCUCAUGAAAGGUAACCACUACUCUGACAUCUGAUUCUAAAGUUCAAAUUUGCCAUAGAAAUCCUUAAAUAAAUUGAAUAAUAUGUAUUCUU
This 3125-nucleotide long non-coding RNA is filed under the name Homo sapiens (human). Its description in RNAcentral is "HSALNT0063600". Lineage: Eukaryota; Metazoa; Chordata; Mammalia; Primates; Hominidae. The record is from RNAcentral.